Long non-coding RNA from Hipposideros armiger (great roundleaf bat), 608 nucleotides. RefSeq lists it as uncharacterized. The transcript is spliced from 3 exons. NCBI's taxonomy places the organism in Eukaryota, Metazoa, Chordata, Mammalia, Chiroptera, Hipposideridae. The record is from RefSeq and is a predicted model, not a curated record.
CCCAGACUCAGACUGCACAGUCAUCUUCAACCCCCUCCUCUGCUCUAACCUACCACGUUCACCUCAUCCAGCUGCCCUGUUUGUAUGCAGCCUCUCCAGUCCAGCCCAACUCAUGUCUCCUCCAAAGAAUGCUUCCUGCAGAAAGGCACUUCUUCCUGUGGAUAUCCAUCAAGCCUCUUAUCUGUACCACUUGCUCAACACUCCAACUGCAGCGGGAAAUGGAAGGACAGAAACUGAAGCUGAGAGACAGCCAAGCUAGAUAAAGUGUACCCGGAGAAAGUUGCAAGGAUUGGAGGAUGCCGCUAAGAACAUCUUCCCAGUCUUCUCAGAAAAGCCACAGAAAUAUUCUCUAGUUGUAUACUCUAAUACCAUCUCAUCAAACUCCUGUGAGAAAAGAUUGUCUUUAAUUAAUGUAUCUGGACAAACAGUAUCAAAGAUAAAAAUAUAUGAUUCAUUUGCCCAAGACAACACUGCUGGACUUUCUGACCUCCUUCAGUGUCUUUUUCACUUACACAUAUCUUCAUUCUGGAAGUUUUGUCUGAAUUUUUAUUUCUUCAAGAACAAAUUGGAAUAACUUGAUGGAAAAACAAAAUUGUAUUUUUGACAUU